Molecule: ribosomal RNA, 207 nt
Filed under: uncultured bacterium
Lineage: Bacteria
Description: partial 16S ribosomal RNA
Rfam family: Bacterial small subunit ribosomal RNA
Source: RNAcentral
CGCGCAGGCGGUCGUUCAAGUCGAGUGUGAAAGCCCCCGGCUCAACUGGGGAGGGUCAUUCGAUACUGAUCGACUGGAAGGCAGGAGAGGGAAGCGGAAUUCCCGGUGUAGUGGUGAAAUGCGUAGAUAUCGGGAGGAACACCAGUGGCGAAGGCGGCUUCCUGGCCUGUUCUUGACGCUGAGGCGCGAAAGCUAGGGGAGCAAACG